UGCCAGCCGCCGCGGUAAUACGGAGGGAUCUAGCGUUAUUCGGAAUUACUGGGCGUAAAGCGAGCGUAGGCGGAUUUGUAAGUUGGAGGUGAAAUCCCAGAGCUCAACUCUGGAACUGCCUUCAAAACUACAUUUCUUGAGUUUGGUAGAGGAGAGUGGAAUUCCUAGUGUAGAGGUGAAAUUCGUAGAUAUUAAGAGGAACACCAGUGGCGAAGGCGACUCUCUGGGCCAAUACUGACGCUGAGGUUCGAAAGCAUGGGUAGCGAACAGGAUUAGAUA
This 279-nucleotide ribosomal RNA is filed under the name uncultured bacterium. RNAcentral's name for it is "partial 16S ribosomal RNA". It matches the Rfam family "Bacterial small subunit ribosomal RNA", at positions 506 to 784 of the family's 1533-position model. The record is from RNAcentral.